UUGCAACACGAACCCUUCAGCUAUAAGCUAAUUCAAGUCACACGUCUCACACACUUCUUUCCAGCGGCCACCAUGAACACAUAUGUAUGCAACUCCUUAUAACGUACGUAGCCUCUGCAUUUCAGCCGAUUGAAGUCCCUAAUUAAACCUUUUUUUUUUUUUAAAGGAGAAAUUUCAUUGAUCAACGAUUAAAACGACCACAAAAUCAAAUAAGAAUAGUCUGAAGACCAUACAUAUAUGCCUAUAACAACGAAAAAUAAAACUAUAUCUAUGCAACUCCUUAUAACGUACACCCUAAUUAAACCUUUUUUUUUUUUUGUAAGGUAGGAAAAUUUCAUUGAUCAACGAUUAAAACGACCACAAGGUCAAAUAAGAACAGUUUGAAGAUCAUACAUGCCUAUAGCAACGAAAAAUAAAACUACAUUUACGAAAAUAAAUAACAACCUCAAAACUACAUAAAAAAAAUUGGAUAAACUAGAAAGCAAAAUAACCUCCCGAUCCCUAAAAACAACUCAGCUUCCAAUCGAAUAAGGCCUAAGAACCAAUGAUAUACUUGUCAUCAAAUUGAGAGAAAGAGAGUAGCACUACCAGGACAAGCACUUUAGCCGACGAAAAAUUUUCGUCGGCCUGUUAGCUUAAUUCGUCGGCUAAGAUUUCGUCGGGAAAAAGUCGUCUGUGAUGACUUUAGCCGACGAAAUUUUUUUUUUCGUCAGCUAAAGUCCCGCGUUUAGCUGACAAAAAACACGUCGUCGGUUUUUUUUCCAGACUUUAGCCGACGAAACAAUUAAGAUAUUCGUCGGCUAAAGUCUGUAAUAAAAAAUUUUUCCUCAGACUAUAGCCGACGAAAUAUAGUCUGUUUCGUCGACUAAACCUUGUAAAAAAUUUUAAAAAAUUACUAUAGCCGACGAAAUAUAGUCUGUUUCGUCGGCUAAACCUUAUAAAAAAUUUUUAAAAUAACUAUAGCCGACGAAAUAUGCCAUAAUUCGUCGGCUAAACCUUAUAAAAAAAUUUAAAAAUACUAUAGCCGACGAAUAAACCUUUAAAUAUCGUUGGCUAAACCUUUAAAUAUCGUCGGCUAAAGUUGCUGGUUUUUGAAAAAAAAAAACUGCAGAAACUUUCGGCCACCUCCAAUCACCACCAAAAUUUGACAGAAUCUUCCUCUCAAUAUUUCGAACAACUUUCUAGAAGAAGUCGAAGCCCAAUUCUAAGCCUAAACAGGUCAAUUGAAUCAAAAUAUAAAAAUCCCUAAUUUUAAACCCUAAAAACUACAAAUCUUCGAUUCUCCUCACACACACCGAAUCGAGCUACCAAAUUCUAGGGGAAUGUAGUACUAAUCAAACUCAACUUAUCCAUAUAUAGAACUCACCAAAUGGUGACAUGAGGAAGGAGAAAUUCGAUCGACACCGAAUCCGAACCGGCGGAGUUUUGGAGCUCGAUUUAUCUCUCACGGCGGCGCCACUCGAUGCACCACUUAUCCAGCAAUGAAGUAGAGACGACGGCGAAGCUUUUGGGACAAGUGUGGCGGUCUACGGUGACUUGACGGCGGAGCUAGGCCGAGAAGAAAAUCUGGCAGGCGAAAUAGACUUCUUACCAUCCACCUUCGGUAAAACUCCUAUAUAAAGAACUUUAGCCGACGAAAUUCUUUAUUUUCGUCGGCUAAACUCUUUUGAAAAUUUUGGUUGACCGCCAAAAAAUUUUGGUUGAAAAUUUUUACCGCCCAAAAAUUUUUGACCUUAGCCGACAACUUUUCAAAUAUUUUCGUCGGUUAAAGUCCUUUGAAAAUUUUUACCGCCCAAAAAUUUUUGACCUUGGCCGACGACUUUUUUAAUAUCUCGUCGGCUAAAGUCUAUAAAUUCACGAAAACGCUCAUAUCUCCCUCUAUAUUACGUAGUUUGGUCAAACCUUCCACACGAAAAACUUUCACAUAGAUGAGACGCAACCGCCUAUAUAAAAAUUUUGAGACAUUUGCCUUCCGACGAUAGGGCUCCCCAUAGGGAAUAAUAACGGUAAAUAGGGUUGACCGCUACUAUCGGCACCGAGACUUUACCCGAUUUACGUGAUUUUUGAACUACAGUCGUAUUUCACCAUUCUGAACACAUCUUAUUUCACGAUAUUUUUGAUAAUUUUGCUUCCUAUAUAGAGUUGGUUCACAAAGUUGUAUAACCUACUAAACAAGUUAUACAACAUUAGUAGACACGUUGUGAUUCCGAUGACUAAAAUUCACAAACCAAAAUUCGACUGUCAGAUAUGAUCAUUAUGAUGAAAGAUGUCUAUGGUAAAAAAUUCAACUGGAUCCGACAACGUUAAGGACUCGAUCGAAACAGGUAACCCUAAUCCAUAGUCACUUAUCACACGAAAACGCUCAUAUCUCCCUCUAUAUUACGUGGUUUGGUCAAACCUUCCACACAAAAAACUCUCACGUAGAUGAGACGCAACUGCCCAUAUAAAAAUUUUGAGACAUUUAACUUCCGACGAUAAGGCUCCUCAUAGGGAAUAAUAACGGUAAAUAGCAGACACGUUGUGAUUCCGAUGACUAAAAUUUACAAACCAAAAUUUGACCGUCCGAUAUGAUCAUUAUGACGAAAGAUGUCUAUGGUAAAAAAUUCAACUGGAUUCGACAACGUUAAGGGCUCGAUCGAAACGGUCAACUCUAAUCGGAAAUAAGAAAACUGCAUUUUGAAGCCCUAAACGGACUCGGAUGGCCAAAAAUGCCCACACAUCAUGGCAUUAGCCAUGAGUCUAACUCGUAGGGCCGUUACGCUUCCGGAAAGGUAUCACAAUAGUCAAUCGGACACCAAAAACCAAAUCUGCAGCAUAGUGAAUAAUAAGGGUAAAUUGCAUUGACCGCAACUAUUGGCACCGAGACUUUACCAGAAUACCUUGAUUUUUCAAUUGUGGACGUAUUUCACCAUUCUGGUCAUAUCUUAUUUCACGACUUUUUUACGUUUGAAGGUUCUACGUAUAGUUUUUUUUUCCCAGAUGAGUUGUUGUCCAUAUCUGUAAAUAUAAGGCACUUUAGCCGACGAAAUUAAGGCACUUUAGCCUACGAAAUUAUAUUUUUCGUCGGCUAAACUUUUAAAAAUUUCGUCGGCUAAAGUUCACAGACUAUAGCCGACGAAAAAAAUUAUUCAGACGACGAAAUUUUAAUUUCGUCGGCUAAAGUUGACUAUAGCCGAUGAAAAUUUUUAAUUAGCCGACGAAGGGAAAUUUUGUCGGCUAAAGUCCACUUUAGCCGACGAAAAAAUAAUUCGUCGGCCUGAUUUUUUUAUUUUCGUCAGCUAAAGUCUUUCUUCUGGUAGUGUAGCUAUAAUGGAAAAUUAUGUUUUUUCUUAAUACGAAAAGACGAUGGAAAAUUCUUGUUUACAUUAACAAAAUUAGUCACAAGAAGUUCUGCCAUAAGUCUCUCUUAAAGGCAAUGGUUUCGUCCCACUUUGCCCAAAUAGCUAGUUGUGCAGAUUCAUAAUGUAGCAAUAAUAUCUGUUAAAACAAAUAAUGAACAUCAAAUCAUCAAUAGAUGAUAAUUAAUAUAUGAUUAUCCACGUACUGACGUACAUAUCUUUUGUGGCAGAGAAUUUGAUUUUUAGAAUAUUAGUAUGUAUGCUUUGCUUGAGAUCGCGUUCAUGUAUAUAUGCUCAGUUUUACGAUGUGAUUUUGUAGUGUCCAGCACGUAAGCGCGCCUUUGAUUGAAACAAA
This 3693-nucleotide long non-coding RNA is filed under the name Fragaria vesca (wild strawberry). Its description in RNAcentral is "long non-coding RNA (FVES_LNC002624)". The record is from RNAcentral. Lineage: Eukaryota; Viridiplantae; Streptophyta; Magnoliopsida; Rosales; Rosaceae.